UCUGGCGGCAGUAGCGCGGUGGUCCCACCUGACCCCAUGCCGAACUCAGAAGUGAAACGCCGUAACGCCGAUGGUAGUGUGGGGUCUCCCCAUGCGAGAGUAGGGAACUGCCAGAC
Molecule: ribosomal RNA, 116 nt
Filed under: Escherichia coli
Lineage: Bacteria; Pseudomonadati; Pseudomonadota; Gammaproteobacteria; Enterobacterales; Enterobacteriaceae
Source: RNAcentral